Molecule: RNA transcript, 1209 nt
Organism: Nannospalax galili (Upper Galilee mountains blind mole rat)
Lineage: Eukaryota; Metazoa; Chordata; Mammalia; Rodentia; Spalacidae
Gene: Xpa
Gene name: XPA, DNA damage recognition and repair factor
Exons: 8
Source: RefSeq, a predicted model, not a curated record
CGCAGGCGCACUCAAUCGCGGGUCUGGCCCGCGGUGGCUGUCAGACGAGCGGCGCGCGAUGCGCCGGCGGGGGCUGAAGUCUAGGUCGGCGGUCCCUGAGUAGGGUGGCGAUGGCUACGGCGGAGGGUGAUCCCGCAGCGGUGGAGGAGCCGGUGGAGCUGCCAGCCGCCAUGCGCGCGAACAUCGAGAGGAAGCGGCAGCGGGCACUGAUGCUGCGCCAGGCCCGGCUGGCGGCCCGGCCCUACCCGACGGCGGCCACUGGAGGCAUGACCAAUGUCAAAGCAGCUCCCAAAAUGAUUGACACCAAAGGAGGCUUCAUUUUAGAAGAGGAGGAAGAAGAAAAACAGAAAAUUGGGAAUGUUGUUCAUCAACCAGGACCGGUCAUGGAGUUUGAUUACUUGAUAUGUGAAGAGUGUGGCAAGGAGUUUAUGGAUUCAUACCUCAUGAACAACUUUGAUUUGGCAACUUGUGAUAACUGCAGAGAUGCUGAUGAUAAACAUAAACUUAUAACCAAAACAGAAGCAAAGCAAGAAUACCUUCUGAAAGACUGUGACUUAGAAAAGAGAGAGCCCGCUCUUAGGUACAUCGUGAAGAAGAACCCUCAUCAUUCACAGUGGGGCGAUAUGAAGCUUUACCUGAAGUUACAGAUUGUGAAGAGGGCUCUAGAAGUUUGGGGUAGCCAGGAAGCCCUGGAAGAGGCAAAGGCAGUGAGACAGGAAAACCGAGAGAAACUGAAGCAGAAGAGGUUCGAUAAGAAAGUAAAAGUGUUCUGCUCCAGCCCCUCCUCUCUAACAGUAAGUGCAGCUGCUAAGAAAGGAUAAAGUAAUGAAGAGGCAUAUUAAGGAAGGGGUGUGGAAAGGGGCCUCCAGUGCUUGGUGGAGAUGUUCCUGUCCCGACUAGGCCACAGAGGGCGGAGUGGCGUAGCCUGUAGAGUAGAAACAGGAGUUCUCUGUACAGUUUGCUCAGAAGGCUCAGAACAGAGAGGAAUGAAAGCAAGUCUAAAGGCUUUUAGUUGAAAAUAAAUUGGAACCUGGUUCCUCUUGAUCCACAUCGAAGUUGACACAAAGUUUUCUUCUUUAUGGGAAGAAUUGCGGCGAGCAGUAAGAAGCAGCGUGUGGAAAAGAGAAACGGCUGCCCAUCAACAUGAGUACGGACCAGAGGAAAACUUGGAAGAGGACAUGUACCGCAAGACUUGUACUUUGUGUGGCC